RNAcentral lists this long non-coding RNA (395 nucleotides) under Homo sapiens (human). Its description in RNAcentral is "HSALNT0039380". The record is from RNAcentral. Lineage: Eukaryota; Metazoa; Chordata; Mammalia; Primates; Hominidae.
GUCUUCCCGUUCGCUAAAAAUUUAUUAUAAUAACAACAACCUAGCAUUACUGAGUGCUUACUGUGUACUAAGUGACUUGACAGGCAUUAUUUCAUUCGGUCUCCGUGGCCCUAGAGGUGAUCUUUGAACAACAUGAGUUUGACCUGCAUGGAUCCACAUAUACGUGAAUUUCCUUCCGCCUCUACCACUCCUGAGACAGCGAGACAAACCUCUCCUCUUCCUCUUCCUCUUCCUCCUCAGCCUACUCAGUGUGAAGACCUUUAUGAUGAUCCAUGUCCACUGAAUGAAUAGCAACAGCUCGGAGAAGGAACCAGAGAAGACUAGAAACAGGAUGGAACGGGAAGGUGGAGGGAGAGGCGAAGGGGAAGUCUCGAUGCUGACUACAAGGCCCCCUC